RNAcentral lists this ribosomal RNA (239 nucleotides) under uncultured bacterium. RNAcentral's name for it is "partial 16S ribosomal RNA". It matches the Rfam family "Bacterial small subunit ribosomal RNA", at positions 100 to 334 of the family's 1533-position model. The record is from RNAcentral.
CCGGCACGGGUGAGUAACACGUAUCCAACCUGCCGUCUACUCUUGGCCAGCCUUCUGAAAGGAAGAUUAAUCCAGGAUGGGAUCAUGAGUUCACAUGUCCGCAUGAUUAAAGGUAUUUUCCGGUAGACGAUGGGGAUGCGUUCCAUUAGAUAGUAGGCGGGGUAACGGCCCACCUAGUCAACGAUGGAUAGGGGUUCUGAGAGGAAGGUCCCCCACAUUGGAACUGAGACACGGUCCAA